RNAcentral lists this ribosomal RNA (499 nucleotides) under uncultured bacterium. Its description in RNAcentral is "partial 16S ribosomal RNA". It matches the Rfam family "Bacterial small subunit ribosomal RNA", at positions 28 to 507 of the family's 1533-position model. The record is from RNAcentral.
GACGAACGCUGGCGGCGUGCUUAACACAUGCAAGUCGAACGGGCCCGCCCCUGUUUUUGGGGGUGGGUUGAGUGGCGAACGGGUGAGUAUCACGUGAGUAACCUGCCCCCUGCUCCUGGAUAACUGCUUGAAAGGGCGGCUAAUACGGGGUGUGCCGGCUGGUCCGCAUGGGCCUGGUCGGGAUAGUUUCAUCUUCGGGUGUUUCGGUGGGGGAUGGGCUCGCGGCCUAUCAGCUUGUUGGUGGGGUGAUGGCCCACCAAGGCGGUGACGGGUAGCCGGCCUGAGAGGGUGGGCGGCCACACUGGGACUGAGACACGGCCCAGACUCCUGCGGGAGGCAGCAGUGGGGGGUAUUGCACAAUGGGCGGAAGCCUGAUGCAGCGACGUCGCGUGAGGGAUGGAGGCCUUCGGGUUGUGAACCUCUUUCUCCGGUGGUGAAGGCCCUGUCCGUUGCGGCGGGGUUGACGGUAGCUGGGUAUGAAGCGCCGGCUAACUACGUG